GACGAACGCUGGCGGCGUGCCUAAUACAUGCAAGUCGAACGAACUCUGGUAUUGAUUGGUGCUUGCAUCAUGAUUUACAUUUGAGUGAGUGGCGAACUGGUGAGUAACACGUGGGAAACCUGCCCAGAAGCGGGGGAUAACACCUGGAAACAGAUGCUAAUACCGCAUAACAACUUGGACCGCAUGGUCCGAGUUUGAAAGAUGGCUUCGGCUAUCACUUUUGGAUGGUCCCGCGGCGUAUUAGCUAGAUGGUGAGGUAACGGCUCACCAUGGCAAUGAUACGUAGCCGACCUGAGAGGGUAAUCGGCCACAUUGGGACUGAGACACGGCCCAAACUCCUACGGGAGGCAGCAGUAGGGAAUCUUCCACAAUGGACGAAAGUCUGAUGGAGCAACGCCGCGUGAGUGAAGAAGGGUUUCGGCUCGUAAAACUCUGUUGUUAAAGAAGAACAUAUCUGAGAGUAACUGUUCAGGUAUUGACGGUAUUUAACCAGAAAGCCACGGCUAACUACGUGCCAGCAGCCGCGGUAAUACGUAGGUGGCAAGCGUUGUCCGGAUUUAUUGGGCGUAAAGCGAGCGCAGGCGGUUUUUUAAGUCUGAUGUGAAAGCCUUCGGCUCAACCGAAGAAGUGCAUCGGAAACUGGGAAACUUGAGUGCAGAAGAGGACAGUGGAACUCCAUGUGUAGCGGUGAAAUGCGUAGAUAUAUGGAAGAACACCAGUGGCGAAGGCGGCUGUCUGGUCUGUAACUGACGCUGAGGCUCGAAAGUAUGGGUAGCAAACAGGAUUAGAUACCCUGGUAGUCCAUACCGUAAACGAUGAAUGCUAAGUGUUGGAGGGUUUCCGCCCUUCAGUGCUGCAGCUAACGCAUUAAGCAUUCCGCCUGGGGAGUACGGCCGCAAGGCUGAAACUCAAAGGAAUUGACGGGGGCCCGCACAAGCGGUGGAGCAUGUGGUUUAAUUCGAAGCUACGCGAAGAACCUUACCAGGUCUUGACAUACUAUGCAAAUCUAAGAGAUUAGACGUUCCCUUCGGGGACAUGGAUACAGGUGGUGCAUGGUUGUCGUCAGCUCGUGUCGUGAGAUGUUGGGUUAAGUCCCGCAACGAGCGCAACCCUUAUUAUCAGUUGCCAGCAUUAAGUUGGGCACUCUGGUGAGACUGCCGGUGACAAACCGGAGGAAGGUGGGGAUGACGUCAAAUCAUCAUGCCCCUUAUGACCUGGGCUACACACGUGCUACAAUGGAUGGUACAACGAGUUGCGAACUCGCGAGAGUAAGCUAAUCUCUUAAAGCCAUUCUCAGUUCGGAUUGUAGGCUGCAACUCGCCUACAUGAAGUCGGAAUCGCUAGUAAUCGCGGAUCAGCAUGCCGCGGUGAAUACGUUCCCGGGCCUUGUACACACCGCCCGUCACACCAUGAGAGUUUGUAACACCCAAAGUCGGUGGGGUAACCUUUUAGGAACCAGCCGCCUAAGGUGGGACAGAUGAUUAGGGUG
RNAcentral lists this ribosomal RNA (1489 nucleotides) under Lactiplantibacillus pentosus. RNAcentral's name for it is "bacterial SSU rRNA". It matches the Rfam family "Bacterial small subunit ribosomal RNA". Lineage: Bacteria; Bacillati; Bacillota; Bacilli; Lactobacillales; Lactobacillaceae. The record is from RNAcentral. RNAcentral also lists the same sequence under 6 other names.